This 497-nucleotide ribosomal RNA is filed under the name uncultured bacterium. Its description in RNAcentral is "partial 16S ribosomal RNA". It matches the Rfam family "Bacterial small subunit ribosomal RNA", at positions 28 to 507 of the family's 1533-position model. The record is from RNAcentral.
GAUGAACGCUGGCGGCGUGCCUAAUACAUGCAAGUCGAGCGAACGGACGAGAAGCUUGCUUUUCUGAUGUUGGCGGCGGACGGGUGAGUAACACGUGGAUACCCUACCUAUAAGACUGGGAUAACUUCGGGAAACCGGAGCUAAUACCGGAUAAUAUUUUGAACCGCAUGGUUCAAAAGUGAAAGACGGUCUUGCUGUCACUUCUAGAUGGAUCCGCGCUGCAUUAGCUAGUUGGUAAGGUAACGGCUUACCAAGGCAACGAUGCAUAGCCGACCUGGGAGGGUGAUCGGCCACACGAGAACGGAGACACGGUCCAGACUCCUACGGGAGGCAGCAGUAGGGAAUCGUCCGCAAUGGGCGAAAGCCGGACGGAGCAACGCCGCGUGAGUGAUGAAGGUCUUCGGAUCGUAAAACUCUGUUAUUAGGGAAGAACAUAUGUGUAAGUAACUGUGCACAUCUUGACGGUACCUAAUCAGAAAGCCACGGCUAACUACGUG